This 518-nucleotide ribosomal RNA is filed under the name uncultured bacterium. Its description in RNAcentral is "bacterial SSU rRNA". It matches the Rfam family "Archaeal small subunit ribosomal RNA", at positions 345 to 866 of the family's 1478-position model. The record is from RNAcentral.
AACCUCCGCAAUGUGAGAAAUCGCGACGGGGGGAUCCCAAGUGCCAUUCUUAACGGGAUGGCUUUUCAUUAGUGUAAAGAGCUUUUGGAAUAAGAGCUGGGCAAGACCGGUGCCAGCCGCCGCGGUAACACCGGCAGCUCUAGUGGUAACAAUUUUUAUUGGGCCUAAAGCGUCCGUAGCCGGUUUAAUAAGUCUCUGGUGAAAUCCUGUAGCUUAACUGUGGGAAUUGCUGGAGAUACUAUUAGACUUGAGACCGGGAGAGGUUAGAGGUACUCCCAGGGUAGAGGUGAAAUUCUGUAAUCCUGGGAGGACCGCCUGUUGCGAAGGCGUCUAACUGGAACGGUUCUGACGGUGAGGGACGAAAGUUAGGGGCGCGAACCGGAUUAGAUACCCGGGUAGUCCUAACUGUAAACGAUGCGGACUUGGUGUUGGGGUGGCUUUGAGCUGCUCAGUGCCGAGGGAAGCUGUUAAGUCCGCGCGUGGGAAGUACGGUCGCAAGACUGAAACUUAAAGGAAUU